This 511-nucleotide ribosomal RNA is filed under the name Staphylococcus haemolyticus. RNAcentral describes it as "bacterial SSU rRNA". It matches the Rfam family "Bacterial small subunit ribosomal RNA", at positions 139 to 635 of the family's 1533-position model. The record is from RNAcentral. Lineage: Bacteria; Bacillati; Bacillota; Bacilli; Caryophanales; Staphylococcaceae.
UGGGAUAACGUUCGGGAAACCGGAGCUAAUACCGGAUAAUAUUUCGAACCGCAUGGUUUCGAUAGUGAAAGAUGGUUUUGCUAUCACUUAUAGAUGGACCCGCGCCGUAUUAGCUAGUUGGUAAGGUAACGGCUUACCAAGGCGACGAUACGUAGCCGACCUGAGAGGGUGAUCGGCCACACUGGAACUGAGACACGGUCCAGACUCCUACGGGAGGCAGCAGUAGGGAAUCUUCCGCAAUGGGCGAAAGCCUGACGGAGCAACGCCGCGUGAGUGAUGAAGGUCUUCGGAUCGUAAAACUCUGUUAUUAGGGAAGAACAUACGUGUAAGUAACUGUGCACGUCUUGACGGUACCUAAUCAGAAAGCCACGGCUAACUACGUGCCAGCAGCCGCGGUAAUACGUAGGUGGCAAGCGUUAUCCGGAAUUAUUGGGCGUAAAGCGCGCGUAGGCGGUUUUUUAAGUCUGAUGUGAAAGCCCACGGCUCAACCGUGGAGGGUCAUUGGAAACUG